UGAUAUCAUUUACUUAGUGAUUGAAAUGAUUCAAAAUCCAUAAUUUUAAUGGUUGAUAUCUGCCGUUUUCAAGUUUAAAGAUGUAGAAGUAUUCAAAUCAGAUGAAAUUUUGAUAUAAAAUUCUUUAUACUAUCUACAACAAGAUUAAUAUUUCUGAUCGAAAAUUUUAGUGCUAUAUCACCACUUUUUAUAGGAUUUUUAUUUUCAGCCGUUAAAAAUUAUUGAUUUUGAAUCCUUUCGAUUGCUAGAUAAAUAAUAUUGAAAAAUCGCAAAAAUUAUUUUUUAAAAACUUCGAAAACGGCUAAGGAGCACGGAGGCCUCCGUGCUCCUGAGCCGUUUUCGAUGAUAGAGUUUUCGAAUCGACGAUCGGCUCCGUUAGACUUGAUCUAGCGUAUUUGAAGUUUUUAGAAAUUAAAUUUGACUAGACUUGAUCUAGCGGAUUUACCGA
RNAcentral lists this long non-coding RNA (448 nucleotides) under Ananas comosus (pineapple). RNAcentral describes it as "long non-coding RNA (ACOM_LNC040431)". Lineage: Eukaryota; Viridiplantae; Streptophyta; Magnoliopsida; Poales; Bromeliaceae. The record is from RNAcentral.